RNAcentral lists this ribosomal RNA (478 nucleotides) under uncultured bacterium. RNAcentral's name for it is "partial 16S ribosomal RNA". It matches the Rfam family "Bacterial small subunit ribosomal RNA", at positions 28 to 507 of the family's 1533-position model. The record is from RNAcentral.
GAUGAACGCUAGCGGCAGGCCUAACACAUGCAAGUCGAGGGAGAAGCCCUUUCGGGGGCAGAAACCGGCGCACGGGUGCGUAACGCGUAUGCAACCUACCUUUCACAGGGGGAUAGCCCGAAGAAAUUUGGAUUAAUACCCCAUAAUAUUAUUGGAUGGCAUCAUUUGAUAAUUAAAACUGCGGUGGUGAAAGAUGGGCAUGCGUCCUAUUAGCUAGUUGGAGUGGUAACGGCACCCCAAGGCUACGAUAGGUAGGGGUCCUGAGAGGGAGAUCCCCCACACUGGUACUGAGACAGGUACCAGACUCCUACGGGAGGCAGCAGUGAGGAAUAUUGGUCAAUGGUCGGAAGACUGAACCAGCCAUGCCGCGUGCAGGAAGAAUGCCUUAUGGGUUGUAAACUGCUUUUAUAUGGGAAGAAUAAGGCGUACGUGUACGUUGAUGACGGUACCAUAUGAAUAAGCAUCGGCUAACUCCGUG